RNAcentral lists this ribosomal RNA (1571 nucleotides) under Escherichia coli. Its description in RNAcentral is "bacterial LSU rRNA". It matches the Rfam family "Bacterial large subunit ribosomal RNA", at positions 1270 to 2826 of the family's 2925-position model. Lineage: Bacteria; Pseudomonadati; Pseudomonadota; Gammaproteobacteria; Enterobacterales; Enterobacteriaceae. The record is from RNAcentral.
AUGCUGGAGGUAUCAGAAGUGCGAAUGCUGACAUAAGUAACGAUAAAGCGGGUGAAAAGCCCGCUCGCCGGAAGACCAAGGGUUCCUGUCCAACGUUAAUCGGGGCAGGGUGAGUCGACCCCUAAGGCGAGGCCGAAAGGCGUAGUCGAUGGGAAACAGGUUAAUAUUCCUGUACUUGGUGUUACUGCGAAGGGGGGACGGAGAAGGCUAUGUUGGCCGGGCGACGGUUGUCCCGGUUUAAGCGUGUAGGCUGGUUUUCCAGGCAAAUCCGGAAAAUCAAGGCUGAGGCGUGAUGACGAGGUACUACGGUGCUGAAGCAACAAAUGCCCUGCUUCCAGGAAAAGCCUCUAAGCAUCAGGUAACAUCAAAUCGUACCCCAAACCGACACAGGUGGUCAGGUAGAGAAUACCAAGGCGCUUGAGAGAACUCGGGUGAAGGAACUAGGCAAAAUGGUGCCGUAACUUCGGGAGAAGGCACGCUGAUAUGUAGGUGAAGCGACUUGCUCGUGGAGCUGAAAUCAGUCGAAGAUACCAGCUGGCUGCAACUGUUUAUUAAAAACACAGCACUGUGCAAACACGAAAGUGGACGUAUACGGUGUGACGCCUGCCCGGUGCCGGAAGGUUAAUUGAUGGGGUUAGCGCAAGCGAAGCUCUUGAUCGAAGCCCCGGUAAACGGCGGCCGUAACUAUAACGGUCCUAAGGUAGCGAAAUUCCUUGUCGGGUAAGUUCCGACCUGCACGAAUGGCGUAAUGAUGGCCAGGCUGUCUCCACCCGAGACUCAGUGAAAUUGAACUCGCUGUGAAGAUGCAGUGUACCCGCGGCAAGACGGAAAGACCCCGUGAACCUUUACUAUAGCUUGACACUGAACAUUGAGCCUUGAUGUGUAGGAUAGGUGGGAGGCUUUGAAGUGUGGACGCCAGUCUGCAUGGAGCCGACCUUGAAAUACCACCCUUUAAUGUUUGAUGUUCUAACGUUGACCCGUAAUCCGGGUUGCGGACAGUGUCUGGUGGGUAGUUUGACUGGGGCGGUCUCCUCCUAAAGAGUAACGGAGGAGCACGAAGGUUGGCUAAUCCUGGUCGGACAUCAGGAGGUUAGUGCAAUGGCAUAAGCCAGCUUGACUGCGAGCGUGACGGCGCGAGCAGGUGCGAAAGCAGGUCAUAGUGAUCCGGUGGUUCUGAAUGGAAGGGCCAUCGCUCAACGGAUAAAAGGUACUCCGGGGAUAACAGGCUGAUACCGCCCAAGAGUUCAUAUCGACGGCGGUGUUUGGCACCUCGAUGUCGGCUCAUCACAUCCUGGGGCUGAAGUAGGUCCCAAGGGUAUGGCUGUUCGCCAUUUAAAGUGGUACGCGAGCUGGGUUUAGAACGUCGUGAGACAGUUCGGUCCCUAUCUGCCGUGGGCGCUGGAGAACUGAGGGGGGCUGCUCCUAGUACGAGAGGACCGGAGUGGACGCAUCACUGGUGUUCGGGUUGUCAUGCCAAUGGCACUGCCCGGUAGCUAAAUGCGGAAGAGAUAAGUGCUGAAAGCAUCUAAGCACGAAACUUGCCCCGAGAUGAGUUCUCCCUGACUCCUUGA